GCAUUGUGUCUACUAUGUUUUCGGUGGAUAGUUUUAUAUAUAGCUUUUCCUCUACGGUUUGACGUUCUAAGUUCCAUCUAGGGCAGUAUAUAAUAGUGUGUUCAGCGUCAUCUUUCUCGCCGCAAUAAAUGCAUUCAUCAUCUCUGCUUCGCUCUCUUUCGUAGAGGUAUUUUCUAAAACUGCCAUGUCCCGUCAGAAAUUGCGUUAAAUAGUAAUUCAAGGCACCAUGUUUUCUUAGAAACCAUUUCCUUAUAUCUUUUAUUAGAUAUGUUGACCAGCUUUUAGAUGCACUCCAUUCGCUCUGCCAUUUUUCUAGCAUGAGGUUUCUACUUUCUUCUUUUGUUUUGCCGUUGAAAAUUUGUCGUCUUUCCUGUGUUAGUAGGUGAAUAGGAGGUAAGCCGCUUAUGGCUAAAAUCGAAUCUGUAGCAACAGUGCGAUAGGCACAUGUCACCCUAAGUGCCAUUCUACGUUGUAGCGAUAAAAGUUUGUUCCGAAGUGAUAUUGUGUCCAUUGCCUUUGCCCAUAUUGGUGCUCCGUAUAAAAUUACAGAGUGUCCCACUGUGCUCAACAUCUUUCUUUUCAUCGUUGACGGACCUCCAAUGUUAGGCAUUACUGACGACAAUGCAGAGAUCGUUUUUUCUGCUUUUAUAGCGCACUCUGUUAUGUGCCUUUUAAAGUUGAUAUUUCUUCCUAUCCACACGCCGAGGUAUUUUACUGCUUCUUUUGGCGUAACUAAAGUUCCCAUGAUAUUAAACUGUACGUCCGGAGGUUUUCUUCUGCAAUUUAGAAGUACUGCUUCUGUUUUAUCGGGUGCUAAUUUUAGCUUUUUGCUGUACAUCCAGUGUACAAUUUUGUCUAGAGUAUCAUUUGUUUUUUCUACUAAAUCCUCUAUGGUUUUUGCAGAUACAAUCACAGCCAAAUCAUCGGCAUAUCCCACGAGCUCGACAUCUUCCGCAACCGACAGUCUCAGGACACUGUCAUACAUUAUAUUCCAUAGCAGUGGUGCGAGCACCGACCCCUGUGGAACCCCGCUGUUUACUUCUAGUAGUUUACCAUGUUCGGUGAGUAUAAACCGGUUGUUCAGGUAUGUUCUAAUCAGAUCUAUGAGGGAUGUAGAUAUCCCUUUUAGUUUCAAUUCUUGAAGUAUAACCUGCCACGGUGCCGAAUUAAAUGCAUUUUUAACGUCUAGAGUUAUCAUAACGCAAGUUUUACGAUGUCUAUAUGUGACUAGUCUAGUUUUCUCUGCUAUCUGUAUGACUUUUUGAAUAGCGUGGGAUGUUGAUAGUCCUUUGCGGAAACCAAAUUGUUGUGUGGACAGACCGCCCAGUUUUUCAACUUCCUGCUCCAGUCUAUAGUGGAUAAGAUAUUCCAUUAAUUUGCCUGCCGAAUCCAAGAUACAAAUUGGUCUGUAUGAACCUGGUUCUUUGUUUGUUUUUCCAGGUUUAGGAAGAAGAAUUAGUCGUGCUGUUUUCCAGCAAUCCGGAAAGGAUUUUCUCCUUAGACAGGAAUACCAUCUGGUCCAGUGGCUUUACCAGGUUUCAGGCGUUUGGCGGCAAUUAGUAGUUCUUCCAGUGUGAAAUUUUUUAUGGGGUUCUUUAUUGGUUCGGGCCAUACUACUUCAGGAUGGCGCGGAAACAGAUGCACUACAACGUUUUCCAGUUCAUCCUCACCGUUUCCCCAGACGUCGUCAUCAAUUGAGGCACAUAAUUCCUGCCACUUUGAAUGUUUUGAGAUUUUUAUUUCCUUUCGUAGUUUAUCCCUUGCUAUUUUUAGUGUGUUUACCUUAGUUUCUAGGUUUUGUGACAAUGUUGUUUUAGGUCGAGCUCUUGUUACAGCUCGUCUGGCUUUGAUAGAUUCUUUCCGGAGUUGGGCAAUACGAUCGUUCCACCAGUAGCAGGGUCUUCGUUUUGGUGAAAAAGAUUUCUUUAACAUCGCAGCGUUGCAUGAUUUUUCAAGACUGUCUUUUAGUUGCUCGGGCGAGUUUAUACUGCCACACUUAUUAAACCUUUUUAGGAGUUUCGCCUUAUUCAAUGAUUUUAGGUUCCACGCUGGGGGUUGGUUUGAAUUAUACUGAUGGCUAUCUGGUAAAUUUGUUUCCCAUUUGAAAGAAAUGAUUUUGUGGUCGCUGAGGGAUUCUGUAUCCAUCGUUGUCCAUCCUUGUAUGUUAUUUGCGACGUUUUGAGAUACUAGUGUUAAGUCUAUGAUUGAUUUUGAUGUACCUCUUUCAAAUGUAUAGUAGUUUGGUUUGUUUUUGGUAAUAAAGUUUAGUUCUGCAA
Molecule: long non-coding RNA, 2276 nt
Organism: Tribolium castaneum (red flour beetle)
Lineage: Eukaryota; Metazoa; Arthropoda; Insecta; Coleoptera; Tenebrionidae
Exons: 3
Source: RefSeq, a predicted model, not a curated record